This 64-nucleotide transfer RNA is filed under the name Carcinus maenas (green crab). RNAcentral's name for it is "tRNA-Gly". Lineage: Eukaryota; Metazoa; Arthropoda; Malacostraca; Decapoda; Carcinidae. The record is from RNAcentral.
AUUUUUUUAAUAUAAGAAGUAUAUCUGAUUUCCAAUCAGAAAGUCUAGAUUUUUAGAAAAAAUA